GACGAACGCUGGCGGCGUGCUUAACACAUGCAAGUCGAACGGAAAGGCCCUGCUUUUGUUGGGUGCUCGAGUGGCGAACGGGUUAGUAACACGUGAGUAACCUGCCCUUGACUUUGUUAUAACUUCAGGAAACUGGGGCUAAUACCGGAUAGGAUCUCCUGCUGCAUGGUGGGGUUUGGAAAGUUUCGGCGGUUGGGGAUGGACUCGCGGCUUAUCAGCUUGUUGGUGGGGUAGUGGCUUACCAAGGCUUUGACGGGUAGCCGGCCUGAGAGGGUGACCGGCGAAAUUGGGACUGAGAUACGGCACAGACUCAGAAGGGAGGCAGCAGUGGGGAAUAUUGCACAAUGGGCGGAAGCAUGAUGCAGAAACGCAGCGUGCGGGAUGACGGGCUUCGGGUGGUAAAACGCUGUCGCCUGUGACGAAGAGUGAGUGACGGUAAUGGGUAAAGAAGCACCGGCUAAGUACGUG
RNAcentral lists this ribosomal RNA (468 nucleotides) under uncultured bacterium. Its description in RNAcentral is "partial 16S ribosomal RNA". It matches the Rfam family "Bacterial small subunit ribosomal RNA", at positions 28 to 507 of the family's 1533-position model. The record is from RNAcentral.